This 253-nucleotide ribosomal RNA is filed under the name uncultured bacterium. RNAcentral's name for it is "partial 16S ribosomal RNA". It matches the Rfam family "Bacterial small subunit ribosomal RNA", at positions 524 to 776 of the family's 1533-position model. The record is from RNAcentral.
UACGUAGGGGGCUAGCGUUGUCCGGAAUCAUUGGGCGUAAAGAGCGCGUAGGCGGCCAGAUAAGUCCGGUGUGAAAGUCAAAGGCUCAACCUUUGAAUGCCGCUGGAAACUGGAAGGCUAGAGUGCGGGAGAGGAGAGUGGAAUUCCCGGUGUAGCGGUGAAAUGCGCAGAUAUCGGGAAGAACACCCGUGGCGAAGGCGGCUCUCUGGAACGCAACUGACGCUGAGACGCGAAAGCGUGGGGAGCAAACGGG